This 305-nucleotide ribosomal RNA is filed under the name uncultured bacterium. Its description in RNAcentral is "bacterial SSU rRNA". It matches the Rfam family "Bacterial small subunit ribosomal RNA", at positions 338 to 640 of the family's 1533-position model. The record is from RNAcentral.
CCUACGGGGGGCAGCAAUGAGGAAUAUUGGUCAAUGGGCGGAAGCCUGAACCAGCCAAGUCGCGUGAGGGAAUAAGGCCCUACGGGUCGUAAACCUCUUUUGCCGGGGAGCAAGGGCCGGGACGCGUCCCGGCCCGGAGAGUACCCGGAGAAAAAGCAUCGGCUAACUCCGUGCCAGCAGCCGCGGUAAUACGGAGGACGCGAGCGUUAUCCGGAUUUAUUGGGUUUAGAGGGUGCGUAGGCGGGCUUUUAAGUCAGCGGUAAAAAUUCGGGGCUCAACCCCGUCCGGCCGUUGAAACUGGGGGC